ACCAUUUUAGGGGUCCAAAACUUUUUCCAGACAUAUACCCAAUGAAAUUGCAAUUAAUUCAUUCUAGUAUCUCGUCCUUUACCUCAGCCGGGACGUACUUAAUCCGUCGCAGCUUCGGGAAAUUUCUCGACGGAUUUUGCCUUUUCCAGAGAAUGGUUUUUUUUUAUUCAAUUCAAUUCAUUCAAUUCCCCAGAAAUGUGCUAUCAAAUUUUUUAAGGUCAUUUUUGUCGGGGGCCCCUAAAGUUCGGGGGCCCCCCGUCACUGGACACCCUGACACCCUCCUGUUACGCCACUGCAAGUCAUGCAUUUACCUAGGUUUUUUUCUAAUAUUGCAUGUUCCUACCUUCCCAAUGUUUACACUGUGUGUUUUCCUCAUUCUUUCUCUCAAUUUUUAUGUAUUAUUAUCACUUUUAUUUUCGUUCCGGUAAUUCAUAUUCGGGAGGGGAUAUGUUAUGGAUAUGAGGGGAUAUGUUUAUAGUUUUAAUAAAUUGUGUGUUAAUAUUAUGCACUCCUUAUUCGGAAUAACUUUUGUUUUAUAUGUUCC
This is a non-coding RNA of Paramuricea clavata, 544 nucleotides long. The record is from the annotation of a GenBank genome assembly. NCBI's taxonomy places the organism in Eukaryota, Metazoa, Cnidaria, Anthozoa, Malacalcyonacea, Plexauridae.